GUUCGCAAAACUACCUUCCUCAGAUCUAGCAAGGGAAGAGGAAUUAAAUUCAGCAGCAUUGACAACGACAGCAUUUUCUGAAUCUCCAGAUAUCGGAUCAGCAGAAGAGAAGAGGACGAAAAAACACAAGGAGAUAACGAGGAGAAAGCAGAACCCUGGAUUUGGCAUUGCCGAGUUAGAGAGAGAAAAUGUGGUUAGGGUUUUAGAGAAAGGAAAAUGGGUGCCAGAGUGCACCCUGCUGGAAGUUAUCCAACCGACAUUGAGAUCCUUUACAUUUACGUUUUGCUCAAACACCGGGGGAGAGAGAAGCGGGGGAAGCCGGCGGUGGUUGGGUGAGUCUGCGACAAGAAAGCGUACUUUUGUCAUUUCCGGACCGAA
RNAcentral lists this unclassified non-coding RNA (378 nucleotides) under Hevea brasiliensis (rubber tree). The record is from RNAcentral. Lineage: Eukaryota; Viridiplantae; Streptophyta; Magnoliopsida; Malpighiales; Euphorbiaceae.